UUUUUUUUUUUUUUUUUUUUUUUUUUCCUUUUCUAGGGAUGCUCCUGUGGCAUAUGGAGGUUCCUAGGAGUCUAAUCAGAGCUGUAGCCACCGGCCUACGCCAGAGCCACAGCAACACCAGAUCUGAGCCACGUCUGCGACCUAUACCACAGCUCAUGACAAGGCCAGAUCCUUAACCCACUGAGCAAGGCCAGGGAUCGAACCCGCAACCGCAAGGUUCUUAGUCGGAUUCGUUAACCACUGCGCCACGAUGGGAACUCCAGGUCCCUAGAAUGUUGAGAGAAAUUAAUCCCUAUCACAGACAUACCCUACCAGGCUGCCUCCAUCUCCCUUACUGCCCUUCUUUUUUUUUCCCCCAAAUUUAAUAUCAUUUUAUUUUUAUCUCAAUACAAUAUCAAUGUGACUGAUAAUAAUUGAUUAAAUGUCAGUUGAUUAUUCCCUUAUUGCUCUUCUAACUCUGUUUCUUCUAACUCAGCUAAUGCUUCCACCACUCCAGGAAGCUUUUCUCAUCUUUUUAUAUGCCCAGGCCCAAGGGGUCAAACUAUGCCUCCAUGACAUGCUGCUAUUGCAUUUACCAAAUUAGUUUUACAAUCAAUAUUUGUGCCCAAUAAGAGUUUAAAACAAAGCAUGAGUAUGAUCUUUUAUUCCUUUUUAGACUGCCAUAAAAAAAUCUUGAAAAUUCUCAGUCAGUGUUUAAGAAGUGUUCAAGAAGUGUUCAUUUAUUUCUAUAAUUAAUAUUUAGUGAAUGCAUACUACGUGGAGAUAUAAGAAAGAGGAAAAUCUGACCCUGGCUGCCUUGCUUUUCUGUUCCUAAGUUAAUGCAAGGAUGAUGACUUAAGUGAAAGCCACAAAGCCAAUUCUCAGCCAAGGAAAAACCGAAUCAUUCCAAUAAUUACAAUCCUGUAGGAACCAUCCUGGGGAGAUAUUCCUCCACUUUAGUUUGAACAUAUUAGAUUUGCAUGGGGCUUUGACACCUAAAGUCAUUCAGACUUGUCUAUAGAACUGGUUUGUUCUUUUUAAUUAAGCAUAUACUUGUUUAUCGAACUGAGGACAACUGAGAAAGAGACUAUCGAAUAAAAUAUCAUCCUAAUAAAUAAUCAAAGGACAGUCACAAACUAACCAGUUGUUACUGACACUAGUUUCUAUAUGGAAGCACAUAGUAAGUAAAUAAACUUAGAUGCCAGGGCAGAAGCACCAUCUUAUGAAGCUAUUAGCAAUUUCUUCCCUUUCAUCCUUUAAUUUUUGUUGUAUUUAUAUUAUAAUGCUUGAACUACAGCCUCUGUAAUUAAGCUUCUUGGGUACUUAUCUCCUUUGGAAUACCUGCUAGUAGCUUAACAAUUUAGUAAACUCAAGUUCCAUUUGCUCAUCUGCAAACUAGAACUAAUAAUCGUAUCACCCCAUAGGGUUGUUGUGAAGACUGAAGAAAAUAAUAUCUACUUUAAGGAUUUGUCAUUCUGUUACGAUUUUUCAGCCCUGGAGUUGAAUUUGAAUACAGAGCUUAAAAGAGCAUAGUGGUAUGUUUCCCUUUUUACACACUUUUUAAUUUUAUUGAGGACUAUCAAAAGGCUGAUUUCUGACAUGUUCACAUGUAAAGAGCUUUCCAUUUGCUACAAACACAUUUUUUCCUGCCCAGAGCCCCUGUUAUUUUGUGGAAAAGCUACCUUGCUUUGUCAAUCAUGCAUUUCAAGUUGUGUUUGUCAAUCACAAAAACCUCUCUGUUGGCCAUAGUGAUUCGUCCAGGCGGUGAAACAGGUGACCUGAAGUAGACCAAUAAGUAUGUCUCCUUAGAAUCGUAACUGAGCAGGUGCUUCCCUGCAGGCAAAGCAGUGAGACCUGAUACCCUGGAACACUGUAUUCCCUGCUGUACAGAGUCAAUCUGAGUAAAUGAGGGCAACCUCAGAACCACAGAGAUGAUGGGCAGGAUAUUCUGAUAUCCUUUGGUCUCUGGUUCUUGACACUGCUGUGAUACAGCCGUGCCUUGCCUUUCAUCUGGUUACUUGACACUUCCAUGAAAUUCUCCUAGAAGUGUGUUUGAUUUCAGCCUGAAGUUCUAAUAUUUUUGACUAAUGUCCAUUAACACAGUAGAAAAUUGGUAUGAAUAUUGGCUGUUAUACAAGACUAGGUAGAUUCUGCUCUCCUGUUCUUCUUAUAAUAACAUUAUAAACAUGGCUACAUUUUAAAACACUCUGCAUAUAUUAUUUUUAAUGGCUGUGUAAUAUUCCAUCUUAUAGCUAUAUCAAACUUUAUUUCACCUUUCCCUUAUGAAGGAAAUUUAGAUAAUUUCCUUACAUAAUGACUCUAAAAUUAGAGGGUAUAAAACUCUUUAUGUUGCCAAUUAUUUUCAAAAAAGGAUUGUAGCUCUGGGAAUCUCAUUGGCGCUGUACAAAAAUGCUAUUUCAUUGCACCCUUGCUAGCAUUGAACAUUAACACUUUAAAAUAUUUUGAUAAUUUGUGUUGGUAGAGUUCAAAUUUUUCCCAUGUGUUUAUCCUUUUCCAGUUGUCUAUUUAGUUAACUUACAUCGUAUUAUAUAUUAAUCUUUUGUAACAGUCACAUUGAUUUUUUUUCCUACAGUUUGUUUGCUUUAGCAUUUGGUUACUUUUUAUAUAAAAAGCUUUAUAUUUUUAUAUUCUAAUGCUCUCAAAUAUAUUUCUCUUUUCCCUCUCAAAUAUAUUUCUCUUUUCCUCUACAUUUUUCCAUUACUGUUAAGCUUAUAAUAUCUUCCUCUGCUAGAGACCAGAUAAAUACUCAUAUUUUUUCCUCUCUCAAAAUAAAUAUUUUAAAAACUUUCACCAAGUCAUAAAUCCAGUUCAUUUUCUCCAAAAUGUCUUGUUAGCUGUCUGAAGACUGUUUAUUAAUUUAUUCUUCCAUUCAAUGAUCUGUAAUAAGAUCUAAUCACACAGUAUAUCAAAUAUUCUAUGUAUAUAAAAGUUGUGUUAUAGCUCUAUACCAACCAUUUGUGAAUCAUCCUUCUCUUCAAGUUCUAUAAGAUUUUAAUUGUUAUAUUUUUAUAUAAUUUGG
Molecule: long non-coding RNA, 3019 nt
Filed under: Sus scrofa (pig)
Lineage: Eukaryota; Metazoa; Chordata; Mammalia; Artiodactyla; Suidae
Description: lncRNA (ENSSSCG00000057807.1)
Source: RNAcentral